This is a small nucleolar RNA of Gadus morhua (Atlantic cod), 106 nucleotides long. Ensembl annotates it as small nucleolar RNA SNORD46. Lineage: Eukaryota; Metazoa; Chordata; Actinopteri; Gadiformes; Gadidae. The record is from Ensembl.
GCUGUGGGUGAUGAGAACCUGACCUAAGGCUUGUAUUUGUUUGGCCGUUUUGGUUCAAAUCGUACUUGCCGAUGAUAGGACUCUGUCAUAGUUACUCUGACACGUG